GACGAACGCUGGCGGCGUGCCUAAUACAUGCAAGUAGAACGCUGAAGAGAGGAGCUUACUCUUCUUGGAUGAGUUGCGAACGGGUGAGUAACGCGUAGGUAACCUGCCUUGUAGCGGGGGAUAACUAUUGGAAACGAUAGCUAAUACCGCAUAACAAUGGAUGACACAUGUCAUUUAUUUGAAAGGGGCAAUUGCUCCACUACAAGAUGGACCUGCGUUGUAUUAGCUAGUAGGUGAGGUAAUGGCUCACCUAGGCGACGAUACAUAGCCGACCUGAGAGGGUGAUCGGCCACACUGGGACUGAGACACGGCCCAGACUCCUACGGGAGGCAGCAGUAGAGAAUCUUCGGCAAUGGGGGCAACCCUGACCGAGCAACGCCGCGUGAGUGAAGAAGGUUUUCGGAUCGUAAAGCUCUGUUGUAAGUCAAGAACGGGUGUGAGAGUGGAAAGUUCACACUGUGACGGUAGCUUACCAGAAAGGGACGGCUAACUACGUG
RNAcentral lists this ribosomal RNA (497 nucleotides) under uncultured bacterium. RNAcentral's name for it is "partial 16S ribosomal RNA". It matches the Rfam family "Bacterial small subunit ribosomal RNA", at positions 28 to 507 of the family's 1533-position model. The record is from RNAcentral.